Molecule: ribosomal RNA, 480 nt
Filed under: uncultured bacterium
Lineage: Bacteria
Description: partial 16S ribosomal RNA
Rfam family: Bacterial small subunit ribosomal RNA
Source: RNAcentral
GACGAACGCUGGCGGCGUGCUUAACACAUGCAAGUCGAACGGUAAGGCCCUUCGGGGUACACGAGUGGCGAACGGGUGAGUAACACGUGGGUGAUCUGCCCUGCACUUCGGGAUAAGCCUGGGAAACUGGGUCUAAUACCGGAUAGGACCACUGCCUGCAUGGGUGGUGGUGGAAAGCUUUUGCGGUGUGGGAUGGGCCCGCGGCCUAUCAGCUUGUUGGUGGGGGGAUGGCCUACCAAGGCGACGACGGGUAGCCGGCCUGAGAGGGUGACCGGCCACACUGGGACUGAGACACGGCCCAGACUCCUACGGGAGGCAGCAGUGGGGAAUAUUGCACAAUGGGCGCAAGCCUGAUGCAGCAACGCCGCGUGCGGGAUGACGGCCUUCGGGUUGUAAACCGCUUUUAGUAGGGAAGAAGCCUUCGGGUGACGGUACCUGCAGAAAAAGGACCGGCUAACUACGUGCCAGCCGCCGCAGUAA